RNAcentral lists this ribosomal RNA (497 nucleotides) under uncultured bacterium. Its description in RNAcentral is "partial 16S ribosomal RNA". It matches the Rfam family "Bacterial small subunit ribosomal RNA", at positions 28 to 507 of the family's 1533-position model. The record is from RNAcentral.
GGCGAACGCUGGCGGCGUGCCUAAUACAUGCAAGUUGAGCGAUGAAGAUUGGUGCUUGCACCAAUUUGAAGAGCAGCGAACGGGUGAGUAACGCGUGGGGAAUCUGCCUUUGAGCGGGGGACAACAUUUGGAAACGAAUGCUAAUACCGCAUAACAACUUUAAACAUAAGUUUUAAGUUUGAAAGAUGCAAUUGCAUCACUCAAAGAUGAUCCCGCGCUGUAUUAGCUAGUUGGUGGGGUAAAGGCUCACCAAGGCGAUGAUACAUAGCCGACCUGAGAGGGUGAUCGGCCACAUUGGGACUGAGACACGGCCCAAACUCCUACGGGAGGCAGCAGUAGGGAAUCUUCGGCAAUGGACGAAAGUCUGACCGAGCAACGCCGCGUGAGUGAAGAAGGUUUUCGGAUCGUAAAACUCUGUUGGUAGAGAAGAACGUUGGUGAGAGUGGAAAGCUCAUCAAGUGACGGUAACUACCCAGAAAGGGACGGCUAACUACGUG